GGUUAUCUUCCACUAUUCGGCUGAAUGAUCAACCCAUACGGUGUGAUGAGUAACAGUGUCAGGGACAGAGGGUGGCGAUAAAUGGCCCAUGGGCCAGCAUCAUGUGAUCGACCCAAUGUCCACCUGCUCUCCUGUUCCGCCCAGCAUCCAGGGAGCCUCAAACACAAAGAUAGGAGAAGCACUCAACGACCUGUACUGGAGGCUUUGCCUGUUGGCAUUGGUAUUGGGAAUCGGGGAAUCAGCACGUGAUGCAUGUUUCCAUCAUGGCUUCUCCAGCUGAGGAAGAAAGCCCUGCUGUUCAACAUAGACGCUGUACUGAUGGUCUUUCGUCGCUUGGCCAAGUCCUUUGAGGUGAUCCUGCUGAACAUAUUUCUCUAUGGAUAUAAUGUUGGCCUGGGGCUGAGUGUGCACCUGGUGUACCUGGGCGAGAGUUCACCUAAGAAGCUGAGAGGAUUCCUGACCCUAACUAGCUCCAUCUUCAAUGGCUUCAGGAAGGCCAUGGUCAGAUUGACAGUACCCUUGUUACUUAACCACCUAACUUGUGUCCUGUGGUCCGUUUACCCUUUCAGUGGUCAGUUGUUCUAGCCUGGUCAAGCAUACUGACCUCGGUGUUGUGCUCACAGUGCAGCGGUCACUCAGUCUGGUUGACUAGGCUACAGUUCAUGUUCAUGACACCUUAAUACAUCCUCAGAACCCACAAUCCCAGCAGAGUUACAUAGAUUGCAUCCAUAGUGUCAAAGAAGGCAACAUACAGGUUAGCUAGAUCACAGUGAGAGUCUCAUUCUGUAAAAAAUGAAGCCAACUCUCUUGCCAUCUAUCUUACUCAGAGAAAGAGGAGAACUUUCAGGGGUCACACCAUUCAGUCAAAUCCCCUUCUGAAUGUUCCAGUUGACCCGCCCUGAGCCUUCUCCACUCCAAAUCGGACCCGCUCAACCUCCAUCAUGUGCCUUGGAUUACCCUGUCCUGGUCCGGCUGGGCUGAAGAACAAGAUUCUGAACAGCUCAUCUGACAAAUUACUAGAAAUGGAAUCACUUUGUAGCAUGAUGUUGUACACAUUUAUGGCAAAGUUCUCCAAAAAAUAUGUGAAAUAAAUUCUAAUAGGAGAAUUUUAGCAAGUUUGGAGGUUGAUGUUCAAGUAUCAAACAGAAUUAAGAUGGAAGGAAGACACACAGUAUGGCUAUAAAUAGUCAUUUGUCAACAAGUCUCUCUCUCUGCAGGAAGCUGAUGGGUACCGAUGACAUGUGGCCCUGGCUCAUGGCCCUUGGUGGCCUCCCUGCCAUCCUCCAGUUUGUGACCUUGCUCUUUUACCCUGAGGCUCCCUACUACCUAUACAUCGACAAGGGAGACACUGAGGGCUGCAAAAAAAGGAGGAUGACCUGUAGAUGGAUGACAUGGGGAAGGAGAGGGCGAGCAUGCAGGGCCAGAAGGUUAAGACCAUGUGGGACGUGCUGACUUCUCGCUGUGCCAGGUGGUAGCUGCUGGCUCUGGUCAUCCCUUGUGCUGGUAUUCAGUUUUGUGGUAAUAACGCAAUUUAUUUCUACACUUUCGACAUCUUUGGUGAAGCUGGAGUAGCAGAGAACAAGAUGCAUUUCCUUUCCAUUGGCAUCGGAACAACAGAUCUCAUCACCAUCACUCUCUGUGACCUGUACUCAUGGUUUCCCUAUGUUAACAUCCCCCUCAUCUUCUUUGUCAUCUGUAUUUAUGGACUAGGACCUUCUCAGCGUUCGUACUCUACUUCAUCCCAGAGACCAAAGGCAAGAGCACGGUGGAGAUCAUGGAGGAGUUUAACAAACUCAACGACAAGAAUGGGGACAAACACCAAAAAAGGCUGACUAUGUUAUGGCAACGACAUUUUAAAGAAAUGUAUUGAGUGGCUUGUACACUCUUAGAAAAAAGGUUUCCAAAUGGGUUCUUCGGCUAUCCCCAUAGGAGCACCCUUUUGGUUCCAGGUAGAACCCUCUCUGGAAAGGUUUCUACAUGGAACCCAAAAUGGUUCUACCUGGAACCAAAAGGGUUCUACCUGGAACCAAAAAGGGUUCUUCCAAGGGUUUUCCUAUGGGGACAGCUGAAGAACCCUUUAACUGUAGGUUGUAGAUAGCACCUUUUCUGUUAGAGUGUAUGAACAGACGUGUUAAGAGAUGUACUCUGUUUAGUUGUUCAUUUGAAUGUGGAUUUACAGCAACUAGUAUGAAUCCAAAACAUGUUGCUAAAUCAGUCAUAGCGCUGUUCCUACAUUCUAGUCUAGGGUCCUAUACAUCUUGAACAGAUUUUUUAAAGCUGUAUCAAUGACUUAUUACUUUGUAAUGAACAUUUUUAAAAAGUAUAUUCAUAUCAAAUCA
Molecule: long non-coding RNA, 2339 nt
Organism: Salvelinus fontinalis (brook trout)
Lineage: Eukaryota; Metazoa; Chordata; Actinopteri; Salmoniformes; Salmonidae
Exons: 8
Source: RefSeq, a predicted model, not a curated record